RNAcentral lists this unclassified non-coding RNA (203 nucleotides) under Hevea brasiliensis (rubber tree). Lineage: Eukaryota; Viridiplantae; Streptophyta; Magnoliopsida; Malpighiales; Euphorbiaceae. The record is from RNAcentral.
GGCAUUUCCUAGUCAACUCAUCAUUGCAUAAACUUGGCACAAGAGGCCAGGACACUUUCAUCACAAAGCUAUGCUAUUUAUGCAAAGAAAUGAAAUGGUAAAAGGUCUGCCAAACUUGGAGGAGCAUCUCUCAAGCUGCAAGGCUUGCCUACUUGGCUAGCAAACCAGAUUUCCAUUCAAAAGGUCUACAUGGAGAGCUACAA